Transfer RNA from Rhizobium sp. PDO1-076, 74 nucleotides. It matches the Rfam family "tRNA". From Rfam's summary of the family: Transfer RNA (tRNA) molecules are approximately 80 nucleotides in length. Their secondary structure includes four short double-helical elements and three loops (D, anti-codon, and T loops). Further hydrogen bonds mediate the characteristic L-shaped molecular structure. tRNAs have two regions of fundamental functional importance: the anti-codon, which is responsible for specific mRNA codon recognition, and the 3' end, to which the tRNAs corresponding amino acid is attached (by aminoacyl-tRNA synthetases). tRNAs cope with the degeneracy of the genetic code in two manners: having more than one tRNA (with a specific anti-codon) for a particular amino acid; and 'wobble' base-pairing, i.e. permitting non-standard base-pairing at the 3rd anti-codon position. The record is from Rfam. NCBI's taxonomy places the organism in Bacteria, Pseudomonadati, Pseudomonadota, Alphaproteobacteria, Hyphomicrobiales, Rhizobiaceae.
CGGGGCGUAGCGCAGCCCGGUAGCGCACUUGACUGGGGGUCAAGGGGUCGUCGGUUCAAAUCCGGCCGCCCCGA